AACUCUGAUAAACGGUGGCCUAGUGGUUAGAGCGUCCGUUUCGGAUGCGGGAGGUCGUGGGUUCGAUCCUCGGUCGAGUCA
Potamilus streckersoni is the source of this 81-nucleotide non-coding RNA. The record is from the annotation of a GenBank genome assembly. Lineage: Eukaryota; Metazoa; Mollusca; Bivalvia; Unionida; Unionidae.